AUUUAAAUAGUUUAAUUUAGAACGAUAAUUUGUGGUGUUAUAGGUGUAUAUUUACUUUAAAUU
RNAcentral lists this transfer RNA (63 nucleotides) under Artheneis intricata. Its description in RNAcentral is "tRNA-His". The record is from RNAcentral. Lineage: Eukaryota; Metazoa; Arthropoda; Insecta; Hemiptera; Artheneidae.